CUUCUGCCACUUGGACAUCAUCUGGGUGAACACUCCUGACAGACAGCUCCUUACGGCCUGGGAAACCCGCCAAGACGCCGGCGCCGCUCCCUGCCAAGGCGCUGUCAGUGCUCCAGUGCCAGGGACCCCGCCUGUGCCACCUUCUGCCUUCGAAGGCCCUGGACAUUUCCACAGUCAAGAGCCUCUUUGCCAAGCGACAACAGGAGGC
This 208-nucleotide long non-coding RNA is filed under the name Homo sapiens (human). Its description in RNAcentral is "non-protein coding lnc-EDN2-2:3". Lineage: Eukaryota; Metazoa; Chordata; Mammalia; Primates; Hominidae. The record is from RNAcentral.